UACGUAGGUGGCAAGCGUUGUCCGGAAUUAUUGGGCGUAAAGCGCGCGCAGGCGGCCUUUUAAGUCUGGUGUGAAAGCCCACGGCUCAACCGUGGAAGGUCAUUGGAAACUGAAAGGCUUGAGUACAGAAGAGGAAAGCGGAAUUCCACGUGUAGCGGUGAAAUGCGUAGAGAUAUGGAGGAACACCAGUGGCGAAGGCGACUUUCUGGUCUGUAACUGACACUGAGGCGCGAAAGCGUGGGGAGCAAACAGG
RNAcentral lists this ribosomal RNA (253 nucleotides) under uncultured bacterium. Its description in RNAcentral is "partial 16S ribosomal RNA". It matches the Rfam family "Bacterial small subunit ribosomal RNA", at positions 524 to 776 of the family's 1533-position model. The record is from RNAcentral.